RNAcentral lists this long non-coding RNA (1278 nucleotides) under Lupinus mutabilis. RNAcentral describes it as "partial ncRNA". Lineage: Eukaryota; Viridiplantae; Streptophyta; Magnoliopsida; Fabales; Fabaceae. The record is from RNAcentral.
GGAGAAAAUAUAUUUGUCUAUUUUUAUUUAAGUGCUUCACUUUCUCCUUUAUAAGAGAGUGUAGGAGGUCCAAUGAGAUAUUAAUGGCACAUUUGCCAACCCUUUUGUUUUCUUUCACUUAUUUCUUCAUCUUCAUUCACUCACUUCAUUGGUUUUCAAGGUCCAUUGUAUCAAUGAGUGUUCUACCUUGAUAUUAGCUUAACAUCUCAGGAUUUAUAGCAAGUUGCAGUUUCCCUCCAAGAUUUUCAUCACAAUCUAGAGAACCUAAUUGCUGUUGCUUUCAGAUCUGUGAAAAUUAGGUGUCUUGAACAUGAAAUAUAUUAAAGUGAAACAUAAACUGAGAAGUGGUUGAAGAAUGUUUAAUAGGAAGGCGCAGAGUUUCUUCAAAAUGGGAGAAGCCUGGAUUGAUGGCAGUGUUGAUGAUAGGCAGGCAAAAUGGGACAAAGGUGCAUGGCAAUGGCAAUGGCAAUGGCAAUGGCAAUGGCACUUGCUGAAUGCUAUGAACGAUGCCUUCUGCAGUUUGUGUCACUGGGAAGAUCUUUAUGGCAUGCUAUAUACUAAUAUGCAAGGUCAUGCUCAUAUAUAUGGAGCUGCAUACAAUGCACUUAUCCAUCAAUGCUUAAUUCCUCUGACCAACAACAAUGCAGCAUAUCUUUUGCUGCUCUAUGCUUCUUGCUAUUGCUUUUGCCAGGCUGUGACAGAAUCUUAUGCUAAACAAGUUACAUUGACAAAUGGCAAUACAGAUUACAUUGAUGGCUUCUAUGAAAGCUCAUCAAUGAUAAAUGGUCACUAAAUCAAAUCAGCAAACCCUCUUGUACAAGACAAAGAUCUCAAACCAAUAAGCAACUUGUUGUUUCUUCAGACAAAUGUGCUUCAUUGAGGUCUUAUGUUCUUGUACUGCUACUGAAGAGAGUUCCCCUUGGAAACUUCAAAAAUUACUACUGUUUUAAUCAUUUUCUAAAAAGUAAACUUGAUCAUGGCUUUAAGUCUCACUCUCUCUCUUUCAUAUCAUCAAUGUAAUAGUACUCAUGAGCUUUACGUCCAUGUUUUGCUCUUUGCAGUAUAAUGUAAUAAAUUGUAGUUUUAUGUGUUUGUAAUGUAAAAACUACUGGCAGCCAUGGAUGCAAGUGAUGAAUAAAGCCUCAGACCUGUAAAUUCAGGGAGGAAUCCCUAAAGUAAAAAAGAAGGGUCCAAAUAUACAUACAUAGCAAAUGUUGUUAGGAAUAUAUAAAGAUGUACUGUAUAUAUAACUAUUAAAUAAAAUGACAUAGAAGAGAG